AACGAACGCUGGCGGCAUGCCUAACACAUGCAAGUCGAGCGAGACCACCGGGUCUAGUGGCGCACGGGUGCGUAACGCGUGGGAACCUGCACUUAGGUUCGGAAUAACUACCCGAAAGGGGUGCUAAUACCGGAUAAUGUCUUAGGACCAAAGACUUAUCGACUUUGGAUGGGCAAGCGUUGGAUUAGCUAGUUGUUAGGGUAAAAGCCUACCAAGGCGACGAUCCAUAGCUUGUCUGAGAGGCUGAUCAGCAACACUGAGACUGGGACACGGCCCAGACUCCUCCGCAAGGCGGCAGUGCGUAAUAUUGCACAGUGGGCUGAAUGAUGAUCCAGCAAUGCCGGGUGAGUGAUGAAAGUCUUAGAGUUGUAAAGCGCAUGUACCCAUGAUCAUCAUGACAGUACCUAAAGAGAAAGCUCCGGCUAACUCCGUG
RNAcentral lists this ribosomal RNA (433 nucleotides) under uncultured bacterium. RNAcentral describes it as "partial 16S ribosomal RNA". It matches the Rfam family "Bacterial small subunit ribosomal RNA", at positions 29 to 507 of the family's 1533-position model. The record is from RNAcentral.